GACGAACGCUGGCGGCGUGCCUAAUACAUGCAAGUAGAACGCUGAAGAGAGGAGCUUACUCUUCUUGGAUGAGUUGCGAACGGGUGAGUAACGCGUAGGAAACCUGCCUUGUAGCGGGGGAUAACUAUUGGAAACGAUAGCUAAUACCGCAUAACAAUGGAUGACACAUGUCAUUUAUUUGAAAGGGGCAAUUGCUCCACUACAAGAUGGACCUGCGUUGUAUUAGCUAGUAGGUGAGGUAAUGGCUCACCUAGGCGACGAUACAUAGCCGACCUGAGAGGGUGAUCGGCCACACUGGGACUGAGACACGGCCCAGACGCCUACGGGAGGCAGCAGUAGGGAAUCUUCGGCAAUGGGGGCAAGCCUGACCGAGCAACGCCGCGUGAGUGAAGAAGGUUUUCGGAUCGUAAAGCUCUGUUGUAAGUCAAGAAAGGGUGUGAGAGUGGAAAGUUCACACUGUGACGGUAGCUGACCAGAAAGGGACGGCUAACUACGUG
This 497-nucleotide ribosomal RNA is filed under the name uncultured bacterium. RNAcentral describes it as "partial 16S ribosomal RNA". It matches the Rfam family "Bacterial small subunit ribosomal RNA", at positions 28 to 507 of the family's 1533-position model. The record is from RNAcentral.